GACGAACGCUGGCGGCGUGCCUAAUACAUGCAAGUAGAACGCUGAAGGAGGAGCUUGCUUCUCUGGAUGAGUUGCGAACGGGUGAGUAACGCGUAGGUAACCUGCCUGGUAGCGGGGGAUAACUAUUGGAAACGAUAGCUAAUACCGCAUAAGAGUAGAUGUUGCAUGACAUUUGCUUAAAAGGUGCAAUUGCAUCACUACCAGAUGGACCUGCGUUGUAUUAGCUAGUUGGUGGGGUAACGGCUCACCAAGGCGACGAUACAUAGCCGACCUGAGAGGGUGAUCGGCCACACUGGGACUGAGACACGGCCCAGACUCCUACGGGAGGCAGCAGUAGGGAAUCUUCGGCAAUGGACGGAAGUCUGACCGAGCAACGCCGCGUGAGUGAAGAAGGUUUUCGGAUCGUAAAGCUCUGUUGUAAGAGAAGAACGAGUGUGAGAGUGGAAAGUUCACACUGUGACGGUUUCUUACCAGAAAGGGACGGCUAACUACGUGCCAGCAGCCGCGGUAUUACGUAGGUCCCGAGCGUUGUCCGGAUUUAUUGGGCGUAAACCGAGCGCAGGCGGUUAGAUAAGUCUUAAGGUUAAAGGGCUGUGGCU
RNAcentral lists this ribosomal RNA (599 nucleotides) under uncultured Streptococcus sp. Its description in RNAcentral is "bacterial SSU rRNA". It matches the Rfam family "Bacterial small subunit ribosomal RNA", at positions 28 to 609 of the family's 1533-position model. Lineage: Bacteria; Bacillati; Bacillota; Bacilli; Lactobacillales; Streptococcaceae. The record is from RNAcentral.